Molecule: long non-coding RNA, 183 nt
Organism: Drosophila innubila
Lineage: Eukaryota; Metazoa; Arthropoda; Insecta; Diptera; Drosophilidae
Exons: 2
Source: RefSeq, a predicted model, not a curated record
UAUUUUUGUGACCAAACAACGUAGCGUAUGAGUAACGCAUGAAAGUCCUCAAUGGCGGACUUAGCCGGCAAGCGAAGCAAACAAACUGACUGACGGAGGUAGGUGGAAAUGUAGUGCGCACUGUAAGUACUCGCACACUCAUACAAAUAAUAAAUGAUAGGAUAUGGAGAAAAAUGCAAAAAA